RNAcentral lists this unclassified non-coding RNA (396 nucleotides) under Hevea brasiliensis (rubber tree). Lineage: Eukaryota; Viridiplantae; Streptophyta; Magnoliopsida; Malpighiales; Euphorbiaceae. The record is from RNAcentral.
GCGUAAUCCAAAAUUUGCAUAAAACCAUCAUACAAAAUCUUCAUAUUUUACAUCCAUCCUAUUCUAGCAUUCUACAUUUGAAGGAAAAGUAAAGCACAAGUCAUAUUAUCAAAUAGGAAGAGCUUUGUUUGCUCUAAGCAGCUUGGCAUCUCCUCUACACCAUGAAAGCACCACUUGAAUACUAAUGGCUAGUUGCUAAAGCAGUAACCAAAAGACCAAGUAUAAGAAAUGGCUGUGCACUGGCCUGAUAUUUGACGUCGUAUUUUACUGGAUCUUUGAGGAAGUACUUAAACUGGAAGAAGACUUGUGGAGCAAUUAAACCUAGAAGUGCAAAAGCAUAAUAAGGUUUGCCAGCACCUAAAAGAUACCCUGCCACUGAUAUCUGAGUUAUGUCAA